This 492-nucleotide ribosomal RNA is filed under the name uncultured bacterium. RNAcentral describes it as "partial 16S ribosomal RNA". It matches the Rfam family "Bacterial small subunit ribosomal RNA", at positions 29 to 507 of the family's 1533-position model. The record is from RNAcentral.
AGUGAACGCUGGCGGUAGGCCUAACACAUGCAAGUCGAACGGCAGCACAGUAAGAGUUUGCUCUUACGGGUGGCGAGUCGCGGGCGGGAGAGGUGUAUAUCGGAAUCUACAUUUUCGUGGGGGAUCACGUAGGGAAACUUACGCUAAUACCGCAUACGAUCUACGGGUGAAAGCAGGGGAUCUUCGCACCUUGCGCGAUUGAAUGCGCCGAUGUCGGAUUAGCUAGUUGGCGGGGUAAAGGCCCACCAAGGCGACGAUCCGUAGCUGGUCUGAGAGGAUGAUCAGCCACACUGGAACUGAGACACGGUCCAGACUCCUACGGGAGGCAGCAGUGGGGAAUAUUGGACAAUGGGCGCAAGCCUGAUCCAGCCAUACCGCGUGGGUGAAGAAGGCCUUCGGGUUGUAAAGCCCUUUUGUUGGGAAAGAAAAGCAGCAGGUUAAUACCCCGCUGUUCUGACGGUACCCAAAGAAUAAGCACCGGCUAACUUCGUG